This 253-nucleotide ribosomal RNA is filed under the name uncultured bacterium. RNAcentral describes it as "partial 16S ribosomal RNA". It matches the Rfam family "Bacterial small subunit ribosomal RNA", at positions 524 to 776 of the family's 1533-position model. The record is from RNAcentral.
UACGUAGGUGGCAAGCGUUGUCCGGAUUUACUGGGCGUAAAGAGCGCGCAGGCGGUCGUUCAAGUCGCGUGUGAAAGCCCCCGGCUCAACUGGGGAGGGUCACGCGAUACUGAUCGACUCGAAGGCAGGAGAGGGUAGUGGAAUUCCCGGUGUAGUGGUGAAAUGCGUAGAUAUCUGGAGGAAUACCGGUGGCGAAGGCGGCAUCCUGGACCGACAUUGACGCUGAACGGCGAAAGCUAGGGGAGCAAACGGG